GGGUCAGUAGGUUGGUCGUGCCACCGGUACGUACUGGUCUCACUGAUUCCUCCUUCCUGAAGAACCGUAAUGACAUUAAUUUGGUGCUGCGGGGAAACAGGACUGUUACUUUGAAUAAAUUAGAGUGUUUAAAGCAAGCUAACGCUUGAAUACAUUAGCAUGGAAUAAUGAAAUAGGACGAUCGAUCCUAUUUUGUUGGUUUCUAGGAUUGACGUA
Molecule: ribosomal RNA, 216 nt
Filed under: Glomeromycotina sp.
Lineage: Eukaryota; Fungi; Glomeromycota
Description: partial small subunit ribosomal RNA
Rfam family: Eukaryotic small subunit ribosomal RNA (bases 40-216)
Source: RNAcentral